CAGCCGCCACGGUAAUACGAAGGGUGCAAGCGUUAAUCGGAAUUACUGGGCGUAAAGCGUGCGUAGGCGGUUUGUUAAGUCUGUUGUGAAAUCCCCGGGCUCAACCUGGGAAUGGCAAUGGAUACUGGCAAGCUAGAGUGUGUCAGAGGAUGGUGGAAUUCCCGGUGUAGCGGUGAAAUGCGUAGAGAUCGGGAGGAACAUCAGUGGCGAAGGCGGCCAUCUGGGACAACACUGACGCUGAGGCACGAAAGCGUGGGGAGCAAAUAGGAUUAGAUACCCGCGUAGUCCCUGUCUCUUAUAC
This 301-nucleotide ribosomal RNA is filed under the name uncultured bacterium. RNAcentral's name for it is "partial 16S ribosomal RNA". It matches the Rfam family "Bacterial small subunit ribosomal RNA", at positions 509 to 807 of the family's 1533-position model. The record is from RNAcentral.